GGGGCUGACUUGGAUUUCGACAGAUUUCUUGUCGCACAGAUAGCAUGCCAAGCACUACUUGUAAAACAGCAACAAAAAUAACUGUAAACAACGCAGAUUACGCUCCAGCUUACGCUAAAGCUGCGUGAGUUAAUCUCCUUUUGGAGCUGGACUGAUUAGAAUUUCUAGCGUUUUAAUCACUCCAUAACCUUAAGCUAGACGCUUUUAAAAGGUGGUUCGCCUUUUAAACUAAGAAACAAGAACUCUUGAAACUACCUCAAGGUUUUAGAAAGUUGGACCAGAGCUAGUUUUAAGGCUAAAAAACCAACCAAUUUUCUAAGCAUUGUAGAAGUUUGUGUUUAGGACAAGAUUUUUGGACUGGGGUUCGAUUCCCCACAGCUCCACCA
RNAcentral lists this transfer-messenger RNA (386 nucleotides) under Helicobacter pylori. It matches the Rfam family "transfer-messenger RNA". From Rfam's summary of the family: Bacterial tmRNA, also known as 10Sa RNA or SsrA, is named for its dual tRNA and mRNA-like properties. Its role is to liberate the mRNA from a stalled ribosome. Lineage: Bacteria; Pseudomonadati; Campylobacterota; Epsilonproteobacteria; Campylobacterales; Helicobacteraceae. The record is from RNAcentral. RNAcentral also lists the same sequence under 1 other name.